Molecule: long non-coding RNA, 849 nt
Organism: Wyeomyia smithii (pitcher-plant mosquito)
Lineage: Eukaryota; Metazoa; Arthropoda; Insecta; Diptera; Culicidae
Exons: 2
Source: RefSeq, a predicted model, not a curated record
CUAGGAUAUAAAAAUAUCUUCUAAGCCGGACGGAAGGUGACCUGCCCUAUCGAUAAGAAUAAUCUCGCGAUAAACCAUUCCUCCAUGCUAAACGAAUGGUGUUUUCCUGCGAGCGAAUUUCGGCUAGCACGCAAAAGUCGCAAAUCUAUGAAAUUCGUUCAGUCGAACGGCAACCAUCAACCAGAGCUCUACAUUAGUAUAUCUUAGUUCGAUACACCGUAAAAUAGUGUGGAUUUGAUAGUUGAUAUCACGGUGUCGGUGAAGUUCAAGUGCACACAUUUCAUUUACACACGUUUACACAAUCGAAUCACAACCGUUCACGGAACGAGCAUCACACUAGAAGAAGUUGCCCAGAAAAUGCUUACUGAAGUUGUAACUCGUCCGGCUAUUUCACUGUUUGAGCAGUUGGCAUUUAUUGUAAAGCUACCGGCAGCGACUGUCUAUAUUAUUACCAAGGGCGUUUUCCUGAUCGUCAACACGUUAACGAAGUUCGGGCGUAUGAUGAAUCAAUGAUCCAUAGAGUAGCAUAUAUGUCAAACAACAGAGUGUUAUUCAUAGUGCCACGUACAAAACAUGAAUUCAUUUCAGAAAUUCAACAUCAAAACUGUGCAAAAAUCAUUUUGCUGUAGAGGAGACAGGUUUUUUUUACCAAAUUUUUUAUUGUGAUAUAAGCUUACAUGUGAAAAACGCUUAUCAGCGAUAGUAUUUGCAAUAAUUUAUACAUCCACAACUGUGCUUUUAUUGAUGUAAAUACAAAAUUAUGUUAUCUGUUUGAAAUUUCAUGAUAAAAAUCUUUCCAUGCCACAGGUAGGGUAAUUGGCACUGUUUGGUCCCUCUCCUUCGAACCCA